This is a non-coding RNA of Pelobates cultripes (western spadefoot toad), 736 nucleotides long. NCBI's taxonomy places the organism in Eukaryota, Metazoa, Chordata, Amphibia, Anura, Pelobatidae. The record is from the annotation of a GenBank genome assembly.
AGAUUUAAGUGCAUACACAAAUAUAUAACAUUUUAAAUUAGAGCACUCACUAGAAUUAAUCUAUUUUCCCCAUCAUUUGCUCACUACCGGGUUGAGUUCACAAUACCACUGUAUGACACCAUAUCAGCUUCACCAAGUGACAUUUUCUACUGUAAAUUCUAUGGCCAUGCGAUCUCCAGAGUGAAAAUGAACCCUUUCUGUUCUGAUGCAGAGCCUCACCCCUUUACUGCAGUUACAACAAUUAAAGAGGAACUUUGAAUUCCAGAGAAAUGAUGGUUCCUGGGUCAUUUACUUCAGUAAACACAGUUUCCAGCAUCAUAUGAGGGCAGGCAGGGGAUGUGAUGGCCCUCAGACCAACAGCAUGUGGGAGGCUGGCAAGAGGGCUGCACACUGCUACCUCAAAUCAUCCUUCUGAAAUAUUACAUAGUAGGGCGUGCUGGGAUAUUUGUUUGCACAGAUCUGCAGGAGAGACAUACCAUGCUGGAAAUGUGUAGGAUACUACAUAUUAUCACCACGAAAUGUACUGUACUUACACUAUUUUUCAAACUGAAAUAUAUAUGUAACAGAAAAUCCACCCCAAAUUUAAAAUAAUAAAUAUAUAUUUUAUUAUAUAUAGUUUGGGAUUUUCUGUACUAUUUGAGGUUUUUUUUCUUUUGCAGGUCCAUUACUGUUACAUAUAUAAUAUUUCAGUUUGAAGGAUAUUGUAAGCACAGCACAUUUUGUGGUGAUAUUAUGU